Molecule: ribosomal RNA, 460 nt
Filed under: uncultured bacterium
Lineage: Bacteria
Description: partial 16S ribosomal RNA
Rfam family: Bacterial small subunit ribosomal RNA
Source: RNAcentral
CCUACGGGUGGCAGCAGUGAGGAAUAUUGGUCAAUGGUCGGAAGGCUGAACCAGCCAUGUCGCGUGAAGGUUAGUGCCCUAUGGGCGUUAAACUUCUUUUGUGCGGGAGCAAUAAUGGUCACGUGUGGCUAGACGAGAGUACCGUACGAAUAAGCAUCGGCUUACUCCGUGCCAGCAGCCGCGGUUAUACUGGGGAUGCAAGCGUUAUCCGGAUUUAUUGGGUUUAAAGGGUGCGUAGGCUGUGAGGUAAGUCAGCGCUUGAAUGCCCCCGCUCAACGGGGUGAAGUGCCAUGGAUACUGGCUUGCUGGAAUGCGGAGACCGUGGGAGGAAUGUGUGGUGUAGCGGUGAAAUGCAUAGAUAUCACAAAGAACACCGAUUGCGAAGGCAUCACACGAAUCCGCGAUUGACGCUGAUGCACGAAGGCGUGGGUAUCAAACAGGAUUAGAUACCCUGGUAGUC